GAUCUCCCUGUCUCUGUGGUACUUGAGGUAAUCCGAAAAUGUGCAUUUCGGGGGCCGAUGUCUGCAGCGGUGGCGUGAGCUCCAAUCACCUCUCUGACUACACCAAAGACACCCGAGAUAAUCUUGAUGUUGUGCAACAUGUGCUGAAGGCAGGUGACAGCAUGGCAGGAACCCUCGACAUGGGCAAUUUCCCAGUCGCAAAUGUGCCCCCCGCCCCCGCCACGGCGGCACACCAAAGGCUACAUGGACUCCUUUGCUCAGGGCAUGGUAGCCCUGGUGGAAAGUAAGACCUUGCGGCUUGAUGGCACCCCACGCAGGACAUCAGCCGGGGUGAACGACAAAAUUAUGCAGCUGGCAAACACUACCGUAGCCCAGGAAGCAGUGACCGACGACGACGUGGAUACAACAGCCUUAUUAAAAGGCGCACUCAAAUCGUGCUCCUAAGAUGCUGCUUGCUGCAGUGUUCAUCCAGCUCCACACUUUGCUAUCUCAAAUCGGUUAGUGGGACACUUCCAAUGAACGUUCACGUAGACAUUACGCUAGUUACGUUUCCACCCGGUAAAACCAUCAAAAAAAGGAAAAAUUCUUGUCCUUGAAAUCUGGGUUGAACACACGAGCGUAAAAUGAAUGGUUUGCGAUAUCUGGCGGAACAUCUAACCUUAACUGGGGUGGCUUCCACAAGUUUACACGCAACGAUGGCACUUCGCUGCUGAUCUACUACACGACGUAUCCUUCCUCCGGAGGGACAAGAAAUUAUUUCGUCCAGCACAUUGAGCUACCAUAAGUUGAACCCAAGGGUAUUUAGGAUAUACUGGCCUCGCCAGAACGGGUUAAACAAUGGCCGAUAAGCACCUUUACUUCCGCCUGUGGUCAUUCCUUCGCGGGAAAGUUUCUGAAAAAGGGUCUAGGCCCGAAACAUCAGCCUGCCUGCUCCGUUCAUCCAGCUUUGCACCUUGUUAUCUAGUGCUAGUGCACACCCCAGUAUAAAGACACAAGAUUCUGGUGGGUCUGUGGCUACCGCAGCCAGGGUUGUACAAAAGGAAUUCUCCAGCAUCUGCAGUUCCCAUUAUCUCUGAUACUAUUUUAACCUCACUGCGAAGCCUCUUCCAGGGAUGCCUAACCUGAAGAAGUUACCCUCCUCCCUCCGGACCAACCUCAGGGAAUCUCUCUCCCAUUGCAACUCUCUUGUCUCCAUCUUCGGUCCGCCUCCCCCUCUCUCCCUAUUUAUUCCAGUUCCCUCUCCCCAUCCCCCUCUCUGAUGAAGGGUCUAGGCCCGAAACGUCAGCUUUUGUGCUCCUGAGAUGCUGCUUGGCCUGCUGUGUUCAUCCAGCCUCACAUUUUAUGUUGUACAAAGUUCCUCGUGGUUGGCAAACGCAUCGGUAAUGUAGCCCUCUCCCUCUCCACUAAGACUCCCGGAACAAUAUUCCGACCGCAUACGCUGGCUACCCCAGAGUCUGACUACCGCGGCAUGUUCCGGUAGAUUAAGAAUUGGGAAUUGUGUUUCUACCCUGGGAGGCGCGGCGGGCUAAAUUAGCUGGUCUCUUCGGCAAUGACUUCUGUUGCUACUGAAUAUAUUUUUGUUUUACAUAAUGAAGGAAAACGUAUAUGAAAUUUCACAAACAGGUAGCAAAGUAAUGCAAAUUUCAGACAACGACUGGCUCUACCUAUUAUGCUGUUAUUUGUUAGUAACUAGACAUUGGUACACCACUAUUGUACAGCUUGUAUGAAACAGUGCGGGAAAGACACAAUGUUCAAAACCAUGGGGGGCAAGUAGAAAGAAAUCACUCCCAUUAGCAGAAGGAUCAAGAACCAGAGGAUAAUGAUUUAGUGAGAGGGUGGGGACAACAAGGUGUAGAGCUGGAUGAACAAGGGCAAGGCAGCAUCAGAGGAGCAGGAAGGCUGACGCUUCGAGUCUGGACCCUUCUUCAGGAACGGGGCACAAAGCCAAAGUUGCUGACAAAGCUCAGCAGGUCUGGCAGCAUCUGUGGAGGAGGAGACAGGGUUAACGUUUCGGGUCCAGUGACCCUUCCUCAGAACUGGGGUGUUGGGGUUUUAGGUGGCGGUGGAGGGGAGAGGGUGUAGUUAGGGACCAUGCUGAGGGUUUAUGGAGAUGGGGGAAGGCGGUAUGGUGGAGACAAGUGGGGAGCUGGAGCUCCUCUGCUGCUGCCCGGCCUGCUGUGUUGUCUCAGACUCCAGCAUCGGCAGUUCUUGCCACAACGGAGUGAGGGGUUUGGUGCAGUGUUUUAGAUAACGGAAGGGAGGAGGAAGGGUGAAGGUAGACGAGGAGUAUGUUCCCGCUUUCCCCCCCCUCCUGUGUUUUACUCACUCAGCGCCGCCAUCUUGUUCCGCUCGCACUCACCGGAAGAGGCUGUCACUAGGUCCCGCCCUCGCCGCACGCCAAUUGGCUGUUUCGCAGCGGCGCCUUCAAGAGGACAGCGCAGUCCUCCCGUCGAUUGGUCCAAGCUCCUGUCAAUCACUUCACGCCAGCGGCCGGGUCGACGCCUGCGUCGCUCUUCUCCUGUAAACUUAAAGACAAUUAAAGAAACACGUUGGACGUGGACAACUCUAUAUAGAAUAUAACGCAGAGCGGGCUAUUCGACCCAACGAGGCUUUUCUUAGUGGCAUAGAGCACUACUGUAGCAGCAUGGAUCAUCCAUGGAUGAUUAUUGACUUUAAGGUAUCUUGUUACAAGAUAUGGUGAAAAGUGUAUCAGAGAUAACAGGAACUGCAGAUGCUGGAGAAUCCGAGAUAACAAGGUGUGGAGCCGGAUGAACGCAGCAGGCCAAGCAGCAUCAGAGGAGCAGAAAAGCUGACGUUUUGGGCCUAGACACUUCAUCAGAAAAGUUAUGGUGAAAAGUGUAUAUGAUACCAUCUUAAAACACAAAAAUAAAUCAGAACCUAGGAUAUAAAAGGCAGAAAAACAAAGAAAUGAAGAAGGUAUCCAAUGUUAUAAUCCUUCUCAUUAAAUGGUCCACCCUGGGCCAGAAACAAUAGACAAUAGGUUCAGGAGUAGGCCAUUCGGCCCUUCAAGCCAGCACCACCAUUCAUUGUGAUCAUGGCUGAUCAUCCACAAUCAGUAUCCUGUUCCUGCCUUAUCCCCAUAACCCCUUUGCUACAUGUCCCCUUUGCUAUGUAACUGCCAUAGGAACAAGAGCUGCCACUCUUUACCACCCUCUCACCUUCAGUGGUGCCCUUGCCAAUAUGGGUCCUUGCUGGACCUUGCCAUCGCAGAAGCUGCUAGUGCUGCCAGGUCUUGUGCCAGGCCCAAACCUGACUCUGCUGCCAACUCCAUGAAUCUGCACUGGAUGCCACUGGGAAUCCAUACUCACCUCCGCUGCAGCAGCUAUGAGUCGGCACUAGGUCCAGCCCAUCGAUGCAGAAACCGCCGCCAACCCAAACUCUCGCAAUGCUGCCGCCAUGAGUCUGCGCUGCCGGGCGCACUCGUUGCUGCUCAAGCUGCAACUGAGCUCUUCGCCAAGAGAUAAGUAAAAUAAAAGAGGGGGAAAAAAGGUGAGAGAAGGACAAGAGGGGGAAAGAAAAGAGCUUAUUGAUAUGUGUAAAGGGAACAAUCUCUCCCUCAAUGUCAGCGAAACGAAUGAGCGGUCAUCAACUUCAGGAAAAAGUGUGGCAGACAUGCCCCUCCCUGUGUCAAUGGUGCUAAACCGGAGAUGGUCGAGAGCUUCAAGUUCCUAUGCUGGUCCACCCACAUUGGCACUACAGUCAAGAAAACACUCGCUGGCCUCUACUUCCUCAGAAGUCUAAGGAAAUUGUGCACAUGGUGAAUGACUCUCACCAAUUUUGACAGAUAUCUGGAUCUAUCACAACUUGGUAUGGCAACUGGUCUGCCCAAGCCCACAAGAAAUUACAGGGAGUUGCAAACACAGCCCAGUCCAUCAUGCACACUAACCUUCCAUCCAUUGACUCUCUCUACAUUUUCUGCUGCCUCAGGAAAGCAAUCAACAUAGUCAAAGACCCACCCCGACACCGCCCCCCCCACCCCCAAACCCCGGUUAUACUCUCUUCCACCCUCUUCUGUUGGGCAGAAGAUACAAAAGUUUGAAAACACGUACCAACAGAUUCAAGAACAGCUCCUUCCCCACUGUUAUUAGUCUUAUGAAUGGACAUCUCAUAUUAGAGUUGAUGUUUCUCUGGACCUUCUCUGUAGCUGUAACAGUACAUUUCUGCAUUCUGUUCUGUUACCCUGAGGUAUUUCUGUAAGGUAUUAUUUGUCAUGUUAGCAAAACAAUACUUUUUAUUGUAUCUCAGUACACGUGACAAUAAUAAAUCAAAUCAGAUAACAUAGAAACAUAGAAGUUAGGAGGAGGAGGUCAGUUGGCCCUUCGAGCCUGGUCUGCCAUUCAUCAUGAUCCUGACUGAACAACUCAAUAGCUAUUUCUGCUUUCUCCCCAUAACCUUCGAUCACAUUCAACCCAAGUACUAUAUCUAGCCACCUCUUGAAUACAUUCAGUGUUUUGGCAUCAGCUACUUCCUGUGGUAAGGAAUUCCAUAGGCUCACCGCUCUUUGGGUGAAGAAAUGUUUCCUCGUCUCCGUCCUAAAUGGUCCACCCUAGAUCCUCACACUGUGACCCCUGGUUCUGGACAC
This is a long non-coding RNA of Stegostoma tigrinum, 4603 nucleotides long. RefSeq lists it as uncharacterized. The transcript has 3 exons. The record is from RefSeq and is a predicted model, not a curated record. Lineage: Eukaryota; Metazoa; Chordata; Chondrichthyes; Orectolobiformes; Stegostomatidae.